RNAcentral lists this ribosomal RNA (478 nucleotides) under uncultured bacterium. RNAcentral describes it as "partial 16S ribosomal RNA". It matches the Rfam family "Bacterial small subunit ribosomal RNA", at positions 28 to 507 of the family's 1533-position model. The record is from RNAcentral.
GACGAACGCUGGCGGCGUGCUUAACACAUGCAAGUCGAACGGGAUUUAGUAGACAGAAGCCUCGGCUAAAGAUUACUAAUGAGAGUGGCGAACGGGUGAGUAACGCGUGAGCAACCUGCCUAUGACAGUGGGAUAGCCUCGGGGAACCGGGAUUAAUACCGCAUAAAAUCGUAGAAACACAUGUUUCAACGGUCAAAGAUUUAUCGGUCAUAGAUGGGCUCGCGUCUGAUUAGCUAGUUGGUGAGAUAACAGCCCACCAAGGCGACGAUCAGUAGCCGGUCUGAGAGGAUGAACGGCAACAUUGGAACUGAGACACGGUCCAAACUCCUACGGGAGGCAGCAGUGGGGAAUAUUGCACAAUGGGGGAAACCCUGAUGCAGCGACGCCGCGUGAACGAAGAAGGUAUUCGUAUCGUAAAGUUCUGUCCUAUGGGAAGAUAAUGACAGUACCAUAGAAGAAAGCUCCGGCUAAAUACGUG